Molecule: ribosomal RNA, 497 nt
Filed under: uncultured bacterium
Lineage: Bacteria
Description: partial 16S ribosomal RNA
Rfam family: Bacterial small subunit ribosomal RNA
Source: RNAcentral
GAUGAACGCUGGCGGCGUGCCUAAUACAUGCAAGUCGAGCGAACAGACGAGGAGCUUGCUCCUCUGACGUUAGCGGCGGACGGGUGAGUAACACGUGGAUAACCUACCUAUAAGACUGGGAUAACUUCGGGAAACCGGAGCUAAUACCGGAUAAUAUAUUGAACCGCAUGGUUCAAUAGUGAAAGACGGUUUUGCUGUCACUUAUAGAUGGAUCCGCGCCGCAUUAGCUAGUUGGUAAGGUAACGGCUUACCAAGGCAACGAUGCGUAGCCGACCUGAGAGGGUGAUCGGCCACACUGGAACUGAGACACGGUCCGGACUCCUACGGGAGGCAGCAGUAGGGAAUCUUCCGCAAUGGGCGAAAGCCUGACGGAGCAACGCCGCGUGAGUGAUGAAGGUCUUCGGAUCGUAAAACUCUGUUAUUAGGGAAGAACAAAUGUGUAAGUAACUAUGCACGUCUUGACGGUACCUAAUCAGAAAGCCACGGCUAGCUACGUG